This is a microRNA precursor of Medicago truncatula (barrel medic), 190 nucleotides long. It matches the Rfam family "MIR2619 microRNA precursor family". Lineage: Eukaryota; Viridiplantae; Streptophyta; Magnoliopsida; Fabales; Fabaceae. The record is from Rfam.
AAACAGCCCCCUAUGUUUUGAUUCUUUGGCAGUUUUGGACCCCCAGUCCAUUAGUGAGGUGCCACGUGUAUUAUUUAGGGGGCCACNCAUUAGUGAGGUGCCACGUGUAUUAUUUAGGGGGCCACGUGGCACCUCACUAAUGGACUGGGGGUCCAAAACUGCCAAAGAAUCAAAACAUAGAGGGCUGUUU